This 445-nucleotide ribosomal RNA is filed under the name uncultured bacterium. Its description in RNAcentral is "partial 16S ribosomal RNA". It matches the Rfam family "Bacterial small subunit ribosomal RNA", at positions 354 to 796 of the family's 1533-position model. The record is from RNAcentral.
GUAGGGAAUAUUGGGCAAUGGAUGCAAGUCUGACCCAGCCAUCCCGCGUGCCGGAAGAAGGCCCUCAGGGUUAUAAACGGCUUUUGACGGUGAAGAAUCGACAUGAUGCGUCCUGUUUUGACGGUAGCCGUUGAAUAAGCACCGGCUAACUCCGUGCCAGCAGCCGCGGUAAUACGGAGGGUGCGAGCGUUGUCCGGAUUUAUUGGGUUUAAAGGGUGCGUAGGCUGGAAGGUCAGUCAGCGGUGAAAAGCUAUCGCUUAACGAUAGUCUUGGCGCAGAUACUUCCUUUCUUGGAUGAGGAGGAGGCCACUGGAACGGAUGGUGUAGCGGUGAAAUGCAUAGAUAUCAUCCAGAACACCGAUUGCGAAGGCAGGUGGCUGUACCUUAAUCGACGCUGAUGCACGAAAGCAUGGGGAGCAAACAGGAUUAGAUACCCGUGUAGUCC